RNAcentral lists this unclassified non-coding RNA (295 nucleotides) under Hevea brasiliensis (rubber tree). The record is from RNAcentral. Lineage: Eukaryota; Viridiplantae; Streptophyta; Magnoliopsida; Malpighiales; Euphorbiaceae.
CAGAGAGAUCUCCAAUGGAAGUAUCAGUGCACUCUAUCGGUGUUGUGCUUACAUGAGAGAAGUUCUUCCACUUAAUUGGCUCAAACCAACGGCUGUCUUGCUCUUCAGGACCUUUCCACUUGGGCGCACCUAUGGCUAUGUGUGCAUCCCAGUGUGGCUGAAGAAUUUUUGGAAGAGACACAAGAUGUUGCAAAUGGAUGGAGAGCCUGUUUUGCUUAAUGCCUUCGAGGCCAAGUCUAAGACCAGUGACUGGCUUACGGCCAACUGUUACCUGAUCUGGGCUGAUAUAGAGCUU